UAGGGAAUCUUCGGCAAUGGACGAAAGUCUGACCGAGCAACGCCGCGUGAGUGAAGAAGGUUUUCGGAUCGUAAAACUCUGUUGUGAGAGAAGAACAAGGACGUUAGUAACUGAACGUCCACUGACGGUAUCUAACCAGAUAGCCACGGCUAACUACGUGCCAGCAGCCGCGGUAAUACGUAGGUGGCAAGCGUUGUCCGGAUUUAUUGGGCGUGAAGCGAGCGCAGGCGGUUUCUUAAGUCUGAUGUGAAAGCCCCCGGCUCAACCGGGGAGGGUCAUUGGAAACUGGUAGACUUGAGUGCAGGAGAGGGGAGUGGAAUUCCAUUUGGAGCGGUGAAAUGCGUGGAUAUAUGGAGGAACACCAGUGGCGAAGGCGGCUCUCUGGGCUGUAACUGACGCUGAGGCUCGAAAGCGUGGGGGGCAAACAGG
This 429-nucleotide ribosomal RNA is filed under the name Chloroflexota bacterium. Its description in RNAcentral is "Chloroflexi bacterium partial 16S ribosomal RNA". It matches the Rfam family "Bacterial small subunit ribosomal RNA", at positions 355 to 776 of the family's 1533-position model. The record is from RNAcentral. Lineage: Bacteria; Bacillati; Chloroflexota.